UACGUAGGGUGCAAGCGUUGUCCGGAAUUAUUGGGCGUAAAGAGCUCGUAGGCGGUUUGUUGCGUCGGCUGUGAAAUCCCGAGGCUCAACCUCGGGUCUGCAGUCGAUACGAGCAAACUAGAGUGUUGCAGGGGAGACUGGAAUUCCUGGUGUAGCGGUGAAAUGCGCAGAUAUCAGGAGGAACACCGGUGGCGAAGGCGGGUCUCUGGGCAACAACUGACGCUGAGGAGCGAAAGCGUGGGUAGCAAACAGG
Molecule: ribosomal RNA, 253 nt
Filed under: uncultured bacterium
Lineage: Bacteria
Description: partial 16S ribosomal RNA
Rfam family: Bacterial small subunit ribosomal RNA
Source: RNAcentral